GGUUAAGCGACUAAGCGUACACGGUGGAUGCCCUGGCAGUCAGAGGCGAUGAAGGACGUGCUAAUCUGCGAAAAGCGCCGGCGAGGUGAUAUGAACCUUUGACCCGGCGAUGUCCGAAUGGGGAAACCCAGUGUGUUCCGACACACUAUCGUUAACUGAAUACAUAGGUUAACGAGGCGAACCGGGGGAACUGAAACAUCUAAGUACCCCGAGGAAAAGAAAUCAACCGAGAUUCCCCCAGUAGCGGCGAGCGAACGGGGAGCAGCCCAGAGUCUGAAUCAGCUUGUGUGUUAGUGGAAGCGUCUGGAAAGUCGCACGGUACAGGGUGACAGUCCCGUACACGAAAGCACACAGGUUGUGAACUCGAAGAGUAGGGCGGGACACGUGGUAUCCUGUCUGAAUAUGGGGGGACCAUCCUCCAAGGCUAAAUACUCCUGACUGACCGAUAGUGAACCAGUACCGUGAGGGAAAGGCGAAAAGAACCCCGGCGAGGGGAGUGAAAAAGAACCUGAAACCGUGUACGUACAAGCAGUGGGAGCACCUUCGUGGUGUGACUGCGUACCUUUUGUAUAAUGGGUCAGCGACUUAUAUUCUGUAGCAAGGUUAACCGUAUAGGGGAGCCGAAGGGAAACCGAGUCUUAACUGGGCGUUAAGUUGCAGGGUAUAGACCCGAAACCCGGUGAUCUAGCCAUGGGCAGGUUGAAGGUUGGGUAACACUAACUGGAGGACCGAACCGACUAAUGUUGAAAAAUUAGCGGAUGACUUGUGGCUGGGGGUGAAAGGCCAAUCAAACCGGGAGAUAGCUGGUUCUCCCCGAAAGCUAUUUAGGUAGCGCCUCGUGAACUCAUCUUCGGGGGUAGAGCACUGUUUCGGCUAGGGGGCCAUCCCGGCUUACCAACCCGAUGCAAACUACGAAUACCGAAGAAUGUUAUCACGGGAGACACACGGCGGGUGCUAACGUCCGUCGUGAAGAGGGAAACAACCCAGACCGCCAGCUAAGGUCCCAAAGUCAUGGUUAAGUGGGAAACGAUGUGGGAAGGCACAGACAGCCAGGAUGUUGGCUUAGAAGCAGCCAUCAUUUAAAGAAAGCGUAAUAGCUCACUGGUCGAGUCGGCCUGCGCGGAAGAUGUAACGGGGCUAAACCAUGCACCGAAGCUGCGGCAGCGACGCUUAUGCGUUGUUGGGUAGGGGAGCGUUCUGUAAGCCGUUGAAGGUGGCCUGUGAGGGUUGCUGGAGGUAUCAGAAGUGCGAAUGCUGACAUAAGUAACGAUAAAGCGGGUGAAAAGCCCGCUCGCCGGAAGACCAAGGGUUCCUGUCCAACGUUAAUCGGGGCAGGGUGAGUCGACCCCUAAGGCGAGGCCGAAAGGCGUAGUCGAUGGGAAACAGGUUAAUAUUCCUGUACUUGGUGUUACUGCGAAGGGGGGACGGAGAAGGCUAUGUUAGCCGGGCGACGGUUGUCCCGGUUUAAGCAUGUAGGCGGAACGAUUAGGUAAAUCCGGUCGUUUAUUAACGCUGAGGUGUGAUGACGAGGCACUACGGUGCUGAAGUAACAAAUGCCCUGCUUCCAGGAAAAGCCUCUAAGCAUCAGGUAACAUCAAAUCGUACCCCAAACCGACACAGGUGGUCAGGUAGAGAAUACCAAGGCGCUUGAGAGAACUCGGGUGAAGGAACUAGGCAAAAUGGUGCCGUAACUUCGGGAGAAGGCACGCUGAUAUGUAGGUGAAGCCCCUGCGGGUGGAGCUGAAAUCAGUCGAAGAUACCAGCUGGCUGCAACUGUUUAUUAAAAACACAGCACUGUGCAAACACGAAAGUGGACGUAUACGGUGUGACGCCUGCCCGGUGCCGGAAGGUUAAUUGAUGGGGUUAGCGGCAACGCGAAGCUCUUGAUCGAAGCCCCGGUAAACGGCGGCCGUAACUAUAACGGUCCUAAGGUAGCGAAAUUCCUUGUCGGGUAAGUUCCGACCUGCACGAAUGGCGUAAUGAUGGCCAGGCUGUCUCCACCCGAGACUCAGUGAAAUUGAACUCGCUGUGAAGAUGCAGUGUACCCGCGGCAAGACGGAAAGACCCCGUGAACCUUUACUAUAGCUUGACACUGAACACUGGUCCUUGAUGUGUAGGAUAGGUGGGAGGCUUUGAAGCGUGGACGCCAGUCUGCGUGGAGCCGUCCUUGAAAUACCACCCUUUAAUGGCUGGUGUUCUAACGUAGACCCGUAAUCCGGGUUGCGGACAGUGUCUGGUGGGUAGUUUGACUGGGGCGGUCUCCUCCCAAAGAGUAACGGAGGAGCACGAAGGUUAGCUAAUCCUGGUCGGACAUCAGGAGGUUAGUGCAAUGGCAUAAGCUAGCUUGACUGCGAGAGUGACGGCUCGAGCAGGUGCGAAAGCAGGUCAUAGUGAUCCGGUGGUUCUGAAUGGAAGGGCCAUCGCUCAACGGAUAAAAGGUACUCCGGGGAUAACAGGCUGAUACCGCCCAAGAGUUCAUAUCGACGGCGGUGUUUGGCACCUCGAUGUCGGCUCAUCACAUCCUGGGGCUGAAGUAGGUCCCAAGGGUAUGGCUGUUCGCCAUUUAAAGUGGUACGCGAGCUGGGUUUAGAACGUCGUGAGACAGUUCGGUCCCUAUCUGCCGUGGGCGCUGGAGAAUUGAGGGGGGCUGCUCCUAGUACGAGAGGACCGGAGUGGACGCAUCACUGGUGUUCGGGUUGUCAUGCCAAUGGCACUGCCCGGUAGCUAAAUGCGGAAAAGAUAAGUGCUGAAAGCAUCUAAGCACGAAACUUGCCCCGAGAUGAGUUCUCCCUGAGACUUUAAGUCUCCUGAAGGAACGUUGAAGACGACGACGUUGAUAGGUCGGGUGUGUAAGCGCAGCGAUGCGUUGAGCUAACCGAUACUAAUGAACCGUGAGGCUUAACCUU
RNAcentral lists this ribosomal RNA (2906 nucleotides) under Enterobacter roggenkampii. Its description in RNAcentral is "23S ribosomal RNA". It matches the Rfam family "Bacterial large subunit ribosomal RNA". The record is from RNAcentral. Lineage: Bacteria; Pseudomonadati; Pseudomonadota; Gammaproteobacteria; Enterobacterales; Enterobacteriaceae.